UGUCUUUACUCAUUGUGUUGUUUGGUUAAAGCAGUGUUUGGCAUUUGUGUGUUUCGAUGCAGCAUCACGCUUUUAGUAUUUCACUCUUCUGCCUUGUCAGUGGUGUGUUGCUAAUAUUUGCACUUCCUGUCAGUGUGUGAAUGUGGUAAUGUGUUAAACCUGCAGUGUGUGUGAUCAGUAUAGUGUGUGGAUUUGGGUCCUCAGUAAGAUUGGUCAUGUCACUGAAGGAAGAAUGCAGGUGUGUUUUCUUCUCCUCCUCCUUAUACAGCUUCAUGUCACUGAAGGCUGCAGUCUGAAAGGAAAUGGAGAGACAGAAGAGAUCACUGCAUACACAGGAGACUCAGUACUGCUGCCCUGCUCCUGCACUGAGCUCCACAGCAAACCUGAGACAUUCACAUGGAAGA
Molecule: long non-coding RNA, 404 nt
Organism: Tachysurus fulvidraco (yellow catfish)
Lineage: Eukaryota; Metazoa; Chordata; Actinopteri; Siluriformes; Bagridae
Exons: 3
Source: RefSeq, a predicted model, not a curated record